This 70-nucleotide transfer RNA is filed under the name Halicampus grayi (Gray's pipefish). RNAcentral's name for it is "tRNA-Ser". Lineage: Eukaryota; Metazoa; Chordata; Actinopteri; Syngnathiformes; Syngnathidae. The record is from RNAcentral.
GAGAGAGGCCCGCAGGCAACAAAAACUGCUAAUUUUUGCCCCCUUAGUUAAACCCCAAGGCUCACUCGCC